GACGAACCGUGCGACCGUUGUUCGGAAUCACUGGGCUUAAAGGGCGCGUAGGCGGGCUGUCAAGUCUGGGGUGAAAUGCUGCGGCUCAACCGUAGAACUGCCUUAGAUACUGACGGCCUCGAGGAAGGUAGGGGCAUGCGGAACUGUAGGUGGAGCGGUGAAAUGCGUUGAUAUCUACAGGAACUCCGGUGGCGAAAGCGGCGUGCUGGACCUUUUCUGACGCUGAGGCGCGAAAGCUAGGGGAGCAAACGGG
RNAcentral lists this ribosomal RNA (253 nucleotides) under uncultured bacterium. RNAcentral describes it as "partial 16S ribosomal RNA". It matches the Rfam family "Bacterial small subunit ribosomal RNA", at positions 524 to 776 of the family's 1533-position model. The record is from RNAcentral.